GGAGGCAGCAGUGAGGAAUAUUGGUCAAUGGACGAGAGUCUGAACCAGCCAAGUAGCGUGAAGGAUGACUGCCAUAUGGAUUGUAAAACUUCUUUUAUAUGGGAAUAAAGUAUUCCACGUGUGGGAUUUUGUAUGUACCAUAUGAAUAAGGAUCGGCUAACUCCGUGCCAGCAGCCGCGGUAAUACGGAGGAUCCGAGCGUUAUCCGGAUUUAUUGGGUUUAAAGGGAGCGUAGGUGGAUUGUUAAGUCAGUUGUGAAAGUUUGCGGCUCAACCGUAAAAUUGCAGUUGAAACUGGCAGUCUUGAGUACAGUAGAGGUGGGCGGAAUUCGUGGUGUAGCGGUGAAAUGCUUAGAUAUCACGAAGAACUCCGAUUCCGAAGGCAGCUCACUAGACUGCAACUGACACUGAUGCUCGAAAGUGUGGGUAUCAAACGGGACUUAGAUACCCUGGUAGUCCACACAGUAAACGAGAAAUACUCGCUGUUUGGGAAAUCCAGAAAGCGGCCAAGCGAAAGCAUUAAGUAAUCCACCUGGGGAGUACACCGGCACCGGUGAAACUCAAAGGAAUUGACGGGGGCCCGCACAAGCGGAGGAACAUGUGGUUUAAUUCGAUGAUAUGCGAGGAACCUUACCCGGGCUUAAAUUGCAUUUGAAUAAUCUGGAAACAGGUUAGCCGCAAGGCAAAUGUGAAGGUGCUGCAUGGUUGUCGUCAGCUCGUGCCGUGAGGUGUCGGCUUAAGUGCCAUAACGAGCGCAACCCUUAUCUUUAGUUACUAACAGGUCAUGCUGAGGACUCUAGAGAGACUGCCGUCGUAAGAUGUGAGGAAGGUGGGGAUGACGUCAAAUCAGCACGGCCCUUACGUCCGGGGCUACACACGUGUUACAAUGGGGGGUACAGAAGGCAGCUACCUGGCGACAGGAUGCUAAUCCCAAAAACCUCUCUCAGUUCGGAUCGAAGUCUGCAACCCGACUUCGUGAAGCUGGAUUCGCUAGUAAUCGCGCAUCAGCCAUGGCGCGGUGAAUACGUUCCCGGGCCGUGCACU
This 1042-nucleotide ribosomal RNA is filed under the name uncultured bacterium. Its description in RNAcentral is "bacterial SSU rRNA". It matches the Rfam family "Bacterial small subunit ribosomal RNA", at positions 344 to 1387 of the family's 1533-position model. The record is from RNAcentral.